Long non-coding RNA from Cynoglossus semilaevis (tongue sole), 186 nucleotides. RefSeq lists it as uncharacterized. The transcript is spliced from 2 exons. The record is from RefSeq and is a predicted model, not a curated record. Lineage: Eukaryota; Metazoa; Chordata; Actinopteri; Pleuronectiformes; Cynoglossidae.
UUCUUAGGCUCGUGGGAUUGAUGUCCAGCAGGUUUCCCUGGUCAUUAACUAUGACCUUCCUACAAACCGAGAGAACUACAUUCAUAGAAUUGGUCGCGGUGGCCGAUUCGGCAGAAAGGGAGUUGCUAUCAACUUUGUCACAGAGGAGGACAAGAGGAUUCUUCGAGAUAUUGAAACGUUUUACAA